GGGCUGGUAGUUCAGAGGAAGAACGCUUCAUUCGCAGUGAAGAGGCCGCGAGUUCGAGUCUCGCCCAGUCCACCA
RNAcentral lists this transfer RNA (75 nucleotides) under Candidatus Heimdallarchaeum endolithica. RNAcentral describes it as "tRNA-Ala". It matches the Rfam family "tRNA". From Rfam's summary of the family: Transfer RNA (tRNA) molecules are approximately 80 nucleotides in length. Their secondary structure includes four short double-helical elements and three loops (D, anti-codon, and T loops). The record is from RNAcentral. RNAcentral also lists the same sequence under 2 other names. Lineage: Archaea; Promethearchaeati; Candidatus Heimdallarchaeota; Candidatus Heimdallarchaeia (ex Rinke et al. 2021) (nom. nud.); Candidatus Heimdallarchaeales; Candidatus Heimdallarchaeaceae.